UACGAAGGGGGCUAGCGUUACUCGGAAUGACUGGGCGUAAAGGGCGCGUAGGCGGUUUGCUUAGUUAGGCGUGAAAUUCCUGGGCUCAACCUGGGGGCUGCGCUUAAUACAGGCAGACUAGAGUGUGAAAGAGGGUCGUGGAAUUUCCAGUGUAGAGGUGAAAUUCGUAGAUAUUGGAAAGAACACCGGUGGCGAAGGCGGCGACCUGGUUCAUUACUGACGCUGAGGCGCGAAAGCGUGGGGAGCAAACAGGAUUAGAUCCCCUGGUAGUCCACGCCGUAAACGAUGUGUGCUGGAUGUUAGGCAACCUAGUUGCUUAGUGUCGUAGCUAACGCGGUAAGCACACCGCCUGGGGAGUACGGCCGCAAGGUUGAA
RNAcentral lists this ribosomal RNA (375 nucleotides) under uncultured bacterium. RNAcentral's name for it is "bacterial SSU rRNA". It matches the Rfam family "Bacterial small subunit ribosomal RNA", at positions 524 to 898 of the family's 1533-position model. The record is from RNAcentral.